AUGAGUUGUCUCAGCUGGAACUGCCGGGGGCUUGGGAACCCCGAGGCAAUUCGGGAGCUCCGCAACAUUGUGAAGCAGGAAGGGCCCGGUCUCCUAUUUCUUAUGGAGACCAAAAUAUCAGCCAAGCGAGUGGAUAAUCUACAGAACUCUCUUGGUUUUGCUGGAUGUUUUGUGGUGAGCAGCAUUGGACUCAGUGGGGGACUAGGUUUGUUCUGGUCUACUGAGCUUGAUGUUGAGCUCAAAAAGUAUAGUUCUGGCCAUAUAGAUGUUGUGGUGCAGAGGAAAAAUGAUACGUCCAAAAACUGGCGUGUCACAGGUUCCUAUGGAGCUUCGUGA
This 336-nucleotide ribosomal RNA is filed under the name Triticum aestivum (bread wheat). RNAcentral's name for it is "partial small subunit ribosomal RNA". The record is from RNAcentral. Lineage: Eukaryota; Viridiplantae; Streptophyta; Magnoliopsida; Poales; Poaceae.